GCUGGGAUGUAGUGCAGUGGUACAGCUCUUUCCUAGUGUGCAUGAGGCCCUGGCUUCAAUCCCCAGCACAGCA
This 73-nucleotide transfer RNA is filed under the name Marmota monax (woodchuck). Its description in RNAcentral is "tRNA.Thr". Lineage: Eukaryota; Metazoa; Chordata; Mammalia; Rodentia; Sciuridae. The record is from RNAcentral.